UACGUAGGGUGCAAGCGUUAGUCGGAAUUACUGGGCGUAAAGCGUGCGCAGGCGGCUUUGCAAGACAGAUGUGAAAUCCCCGGGCUUAACCUGGGAGCUGCAUUUGUGACUGCAUGGCUGGAGUGCGGCAGAGGGGGAUGGAAUUCCGCGUGUAGCAGUGAAAUGCGUAGAUAUCAGGAGGAAUACCGAUGGCGAAGGCAGGUCUCUGGGCUGACACUGACGCUCAUGCACGAAAGCGUGGGGAGCAAACAGG
Molecule: ribosomal RNA, 253 nt
Filed under: uncultured bacterium
Lineage: Bacteria
Description: partial 16S ribosomal RNA
Rfam family: Bacterial small subunit ribosomal RNA
Source: RNAcentral